Molecule: ribosomal RNA, 279 nt
Filed under: uncultured bacterium
Lineage: Bacteria
Description: partial 16S ribosomal RNA
Rfam family: Bacterial small subunit ribosomal RNA
Source: RNAcentral
UGCCAGCCGCCGCGGUAAUACAGAGGGUACAAGCGUUAAUCGGAAUUACUGGGCGUAAAGCGCACGUAGGUGGUUAAAUCAGUCAGAUGUGAAAUCCCUGGGCUCAACCUGGGAACUGCAUUUGAUACUGUUUAGCUAGAGUAUGGUAGAGGGAAGUGGAAUUUCCGAUGUAGCGGUGAAAUGCGUAGAUAUCGGAAGGAACACCAGUGGCGAAGGCGGCUUUCUGGCCUAACACUGACACUGAUGCGCGAAAGCGUGGGUAGCAAACAGGAUUAGAUA